UGCACGCUAGUGACGAUCACACAGAAAACCCCGCAAGGGCUUGUGUAGAUCUGAUGUUUGGUGUA
Non-coding RNA from Sarcophilus harrisii (Tasmanian devil), 65 nucleotides. Lineage: Eukaryota; Metazoa; Chordata; Mammalia; Dasyuromorphia; Dasyuridae. The record is from Rfam.